Molecule: non-coding RNA, 225 nt
Filed under: Pontibacillus marinus
Lineage: Bacteria; Bacillati; Bacillota; Bacilli; Caryophanales; Bacillaceae
Description: T-box sequence
Rfam family: T-box leader
About the family: Uncharged tRNA acts as the effector for transcription antitermination of genes in the T-box leader family.
Source: RNAcentral
AAAUAGCCUAUGAAAAAGAGAGUAAUCGUGUGGAUGCUAAAGCGAGCCAGGGUUGGUGCGAGCCUGGUAGCAGAAGGAUGAUGAACCGGACUUUUGAGGCAUGACCCUGAAUGCGUAGUAGGGGCAUCGGCAACUUGCCGUUAUCAAGUACAAGAGCUGACCUUUCGUAUGUUUAUUUGCGAAGGGUAAUGAGAGUGGUACCGCGGAUAACAACCCGUCUCUUUU